Molecule: ribosomal RNA, 492 nt
Filed under: uncultured bacterium
Lineage: Bacteria
Description: partial 16S ribosomal RNA
Rfam family: Bacterial small subunit ribosomal RNA
Source: RNAcentral
AGUGAACGCUGGCGGUAGGCCUAACACAUGCAAGUCGAACGGCAGCACAGUAAGAGCUUGCUCUUACGGGUGGCGAGUGGCGGACGGGUGAGGAAUACAUCGUAAUCUACUUUUUCGUGGGGGAUAACGUAGGGGAACUUACGCUAAUACCGCAUACGACCUACGGGUGAAAGCAGGGGAUCUUCGGACCUUGCGCGAUUGAAUGAGCCGAUGUCGGAUUAGCUAGUUGGCGGGGUAAAGGCCCACCAAGGCGACGAUCCGUAGCUGGUCUGCGAGGAUGAUCAGCCACACUGGAACUGAGGCACGGUGCAGAGUCCUACGGGAGGCAGCAGUGGGGAAUAUUGGACGAUGGGCGCAAGCCUGAUCCAGCCAUACCGCGUGGGUGAAGAAGGCCUUCGGGUUGUAAAGCCCUUUUGUUGGGAAAGAAAAGCAGCAGGUUAAUACCCCGCUGUUCUGACGGUACCCAAAGAAUAAGCACCGGCUAAAUUCGUG